AAAUUGACACCGUAACUUCGGGAGAAGGUGUGCCGCUGGCGGUUAGUGACUUCGCGUCACGAAGCUGUUGGUGGUCGCAGUGAAAUGGCGGUUGUGACUGUUUACUAAAAACACAGGACUCUGCGAAGUCGUAAGACGACGUAUAGGGUCUGAUGCCUGCCCGGUGCUGGAAGGUUAAGGGGAUAUGUCAGCGCAAGCGAAGCAUUGAACCGAAGCCCCAGUAAACGGCGGCCGUAACUAUAACGGUCCUAAGGUAGCGAAAUUCCUUGUCGGGUAAGUUCCGACCUGCACGAGGGCAUAACAACAUCCGCACUCUCGACCAGGGACUCAGCGAAAUUACAUUGGGGGUGAAGAUGCCCUCUACCCGCGGAAAGACGGAAAGACCCCAUGAACCUUUACUGCAACUUGGCAGUGAUUUUCGGGUUGUUCUGCGUAGGAUAGGUGGGAGGCUUUGAAGCCGGGCUUCCGGGUUCGGCAGAGCCAACGUUGAAAUACCACCCUGAAUAAUCUGGAAAUCUAACCUGCGCCCAUGAUCUGGGCGAGGGACACUGCCUGGUGGGCAGUUUGACUGGGGCGGUCGCCUCCUAAAUUGUAACGGAGGCGUGCGACGGUUCCCUCAGGCUGAUUGGAAACCAGCCGUAGAGUGCAAACGCAUAAGGGAGCUUUACUGCGAGACUGACAAGUCGACCAGUUGCGAAAGCAGGUGUUAGUGAUCCGGUGGUACCACAUGGAAGGGCCAUCGCUCAUCGGAUAAAAGGUACUCUGGGGAUAACAGGCUGAUCGCGCCUGAGAGUUCACAUCGGCGGCGCGGUUUGGCACCUCGAUGUCGGCUCAUCGCAUCCUGGGGCUGGAGCAGGUCCCAAGGGUUUGGCUGUUCGCCAAUUAAAGCGGUACGCGAGCUGGGUUUAAAACGUCGUGAGACAGUUUGGUCCCUAUCUUCCGUGGGCGCAGGACACUUGAGAGGAGCUAUCCAUAGUACGAGAGGACCUGGAUGGACGAACCUCUGGUGCUCCGGUUGUCACGCCAGUGGCAUAGCCGGGUAGCCAUGUUCGGAACAGAUAACCGCUGAAGGCAUAUAAGCGGGAAGCUGGCCUCAAGACUAGGUGUCCCUGACGCAAGUCACUAAAGGCCCCUCGAAGACUACGAGGUUGAUAGGCUCGGUGUGGGAGCGCUGCGAGGCGCGGAGCUAACGAGUACUAAUAGGCCGUGAGGCUUGACCUC
This 1221-nucleotide ribosomal RNA is filed under the name metagenome. RNAcentral describes it as "bacterial LSU rRNA". It matches the Rfam family "Bacterial large subunit ribosomal RNA", at positions 1719 to 2925 of the family's 2925-position model. The record is from RNAcentral.